RNAcentral lists this long non-coding RNA (5915 nucleotides) under Lynx pardinus (Iberian lynx). Lineage: Eukaryota; Metazoa; Chordata; Mammalia; Carnivora; Felidae. The record is from RNAcentral.
CCGCCUGUCCCCCUCUGGGAGAACUCGCUCCAAAGAGAAAGCCCGGCGCACGCAAACGAGGCCUGAAAUGUAUCUUUUAAAAAUGUUUUGUGCGGCUGAUUUUUAAUUAUCAUACUGAAAAAUUGCCACUUUUAUUUGCGUGGACGGUUUCGUGGACUGUUUGGAGAGUCGUCGCUCGACCGGGUUCGGAGCAGUUGCGUCACCCCAAGGACCGCCUCCUGCUGUGGCUGGUAGACCCCCCCACCCCCCCUCCACCCCCUCCACUCCCUCCACCCCCCCUCAUCACCCCUCAUCCCCCUUCCCCUCCGCCUCACCCCCUUCACCCCCUCACCCCCCUUCACACCCCUCUUUACCACCCUUCACCCCUUCUUCACUCCCCCUUCACCCCUCACCCCCUCAUCCCUCCUUCACCUCUCCCUCACCCCCCACCCCCUUCGCCCUGAAGCCCUGCUCUGGUCCCCCCCCCGGCGGUGGCUGGGUCUGCCCUGGGCCCUGGCCCCGCCCUCCAAGCGGCGGCAGAAGCAGCAGGCCUCGGAUUCACCCGGGCGCUGUGUGUGAAUCCACAGCUUGUUCCUCUCGGUGCCUCGGUGUCCCGCGGUGUAGACGGGUGGCCGUUCACGCACUGAAGAACGUUCGGUUGUUGCCUCCUAUUGCACACAAAGCUUCCUACCACGUUCGUGCCCGGUUGUUGUGUGAACGUGCAUCCCGUGUCCGGGUGACCGGCCAGGGCUGGGAUUGCCACAUCCGUGUCGGGUGGGAAGCGGGAGCCGAGACCGUCGUCCGGGGGCCGCUGCCCGCCUGCUCCCUCCACAGCUGCUCCCUGGCCUCCCGUAGGCCGUGGGGGCGCCUCGUCGGGGCUGGGGGGUGGGGGGCUCCCCGGCGUCUAAUGACACCGAGGUCUUCUCGUGGCCUCUUCGUCGUCCCCGCAUCCGCUUUGGAUCAAGACGUUUCCUACCUGCAGCUAGUGGGUCUCAGUGUGGACACUCUGCGUCCCUCCUCCGACACGGGGUUCACAGCACCUGGUUCCUGUCGUUCUCUUGACAGCGUCUCUGGGGGAGCAAAAGUCUGCGUUGGGAUGAAGUCCAGUUUAUCAGUUUCUUCUCCGAUGGCGUCUCUCCAAACUCCGAGCAAGCCCGUGUCGUGAAGAUCGCGUCCCGUGACCUUCUGCGUAAGUUGUGUAUGUUGUGCACUUAAACCCGGGACUCCCUUUGAGCUUACCUUCGCCCAAGGUGUGGACUGGAGGUACAGGCUCCCCCCCCGCGCGUGGGGGACACUGGCCCAGUUCCAUUUGCUGAAAUAGCUGCUUGUCCUACGCUGAGCCGCACUCACACGGCUGCCAGAGUUUUCCGUGGCUCUGUUUCUGGACCACCCAUCUGGUCGGCGCCCGGGUCCCUCUAACACGGGUCCCACCCUGUGUUGCUCACGCAGCUGUGUGGUCAGUGUUCAAUCAGGUGGCUUCCAGCAGUUUUGUUCUCUUUCCAGUUGUUUUACUUCUAGUUCCAUUGCUGUUACAUAUGCAUUUUAGAAUUUGCCCAUCUCUGUCUACAAAAAAAAUCUUGCUGGAAUUUCGCCUCGUGAUGUGUGAAGUCUAUAGAUCACUUUGAGGAGAACUGACAUCUUCGCUACGCUGAGCCUUCAGAUUCAUGAACAUGGUAAGCCUUUCUAUUUAUGUAGAUCGUAUCUGAUUUCUUUCAACAGCAUUUUGUCGUUUUCAGUACUCAGAACCUUUUCGUACUUUGCUAGAUUUGCACCUAGACGUUUUGGGAAGCUUUUGUAAAAAGUGAUAGUCUUAAAAUUUUGGUCUCCAAUUAUUCAUUGCUUGUAUCUAUCUGGGCAUACAGUUGAUUUUGAUGUGUCGAUCUCUAACCUACAACCUUGCUUAAACUCACUGGUUCUAAGAGUUUGGUUCUGUUUAAAAAAUAGAUUCCCUGGGAUUUUCUACACAGAUCGCUGCAUUGUCUGCAAAUAAGGACGGCUUUAUUCUUCCUUCCCAAUCAAUAUGCCUUUUAUUUCCUUUUCUUGCCCCAUUGCACUGGCUGGAGUUUCUAGCACUGUGCGAAAUAAGAGUGCUGAGGGAGGGCACCCUGGCCGUGAUCCUAAUCUCAGGUGGAAGCAUUCAGGCUUUCACAUGAAGUACGAUUUAGCUGUAGGACUUUUAUCAAUGCCCUUUGUCAGGUUAAGGAAGUUUGCUGGAUAUAGGAAUCUGAACAAUGAUUCUUGUCUUUCAGCACCGAAAAGAUACUGUAUUACCGAUAAGAAAGUCCAGCCUUCAAAUCAUCAUUCUUCUACAGGUAACACAUCAUUUUUCUCUGGCUGCUUUUUAAGAUUUUUUUUCUCUGUUUUUAGUUUUCAGCAAUUUGAUUAUAAAGUGGCUUGGUGUGGGGGCGCCUGGGUGGCUCAAUGAGGUAAGCGUCCGACUUCGGCUCAGGUCGUGAUCUCGCGGUUCGUGAGUUCGAGCCCCGCGUCGGGCUCUGCGCUGACAGCUCGGAGCCUGGAUCCUGCUUCGGAUUCUGUGUCUCCCUCUCUCUCUGCCCCUUCCUUGCUUGUGCUUUGAUCCUCUCUCAAAAGUAAAUAAACAUAAAAAAUUUUUUUUAAGUGACUUGGUGUGGCUUUUUUUCAGUUUUUCCUGGGUGGGAUUUGUUCUGUUUUUGUUUUUGUUUUUGUUUUUUAAUUUUUUUUCAACGUUUUUUAUUUAUUUUUGGGACAGAGAGAGACAGAGCAUGAACGGGGGAGGGGCAGAGAGAGAGGGAGACACAGAAUCGGAAACAGGCUCCAGGCUCCGAGCCAUCAGCCCAGAGCCUGACGCGGGGCUCGAACUCACGGACCUCGAGAUCGUGACCUGGCUGAAGUCGGACGCUUAACCGACUGCGCCACCCAGGCGCCCCUGUUCUGUUUUUUUAAAUUAUAAGUUUAUGUCUUUCACCAAACUUGUGAAGCUUUCAGUCAUAAUCUCCUUAAACAUUUUUUCAGUCUCACGGUCUUUCUCCUCUCUUUCUGGGACUUUAAUGAAACAAACAUUAGCUCUGUCGUCCCGUGGGUCCCUGAGGCGGUUCAUUUUUUAAAUCUUCUCUCUUGGUGAGAUGAAUUUCCGUUGCUAUGUCUUCAAAGUUCAUUGACUCUCUUGUCAUCUCAAUUCUGGUAUUCGAUCCCUCCAUGAGGGUCUUUUUCCCUUUCGGUUAUUCUACUUUUCAAUUCCAAAAUUUCCAUUUGCCUCUUUUUUUUUUUUUUUUUUUUAUGUCUUUCCCUUUGCUGAGCCGUUCUAUUUCAAUUUGUGUCAAGACUUUUUGCAGUUUCUGGUUAAAGCAUUUUAAUAACAGCCGCUUGAAAGUCCCUGUCAGAUCAUUCAAACAUCGGUGGUAUCACAUCAUCCGUGUCUGUUGUCUUUACCCACGUGAAUUGAGAUUUUCAUGUUUUUCCAAAACUUAAUCUCAUGGGCUAAUUUCCCUAAGUUUCUUUCUCUCCAUUAUUUUCCAGGUACUUUCCAGUUACCUGAGGUUCCUUUUUCCUCCACCAGAAACUGUCCACUUCUGCAUUUGUGACGCAUUUGGGGCCAAGUGGCACGACUUAGAGGAAAAACUUCUGCUAAUUAUCAGGUUCAGCACGGUUCCAGGAUCCAAGAUCAAUAUACAAAAACCAGCCACAUUUCUUUAUGUUAAGCAAUGAGCAAUCCACCGAUAAAAUUGAGAAAAAAUUCCAUUCACAACAGCAUUGAAAAGAAAGUAACUAGGAGUCAGUUUAACAAACGGAGUGUGAGACUUGAACUCUAUGCAGCAUUUCUUUUUUUUUUUUGUAAUAAUGAUCUAUUUUUGAGAGACAGAGCGACAGGAGAGGAGGGGCAGAGAGAGAGGGGGACACAGAAUCCGAUGCAGGCUCCAGGCUCCGAGCUGUCAGCACAGAGCCCGACGUGGGGCUCGAACUCACGGACCUCGAGAUCAUGACCUGAUCCAAAGUCGGACGGUUGACUGAGCCACUCAAGUGUCUCUCUUUUUUUGUUGCUUAUUUUUGAGAGAGAGAGAGAGAGAGAGAGAGAGAGGGCACAAUUGAGGGAGGGGCAACAAGAGGGAGGGAGACCCAGAAUCCGUGGCAGCCUCCAGGCCCCGAGCUAUCAGCGACCUGACGCAGGGCUCAAACCCACAGACCAUGAGAUCACCACCUGAGCCGAAGUCGGACGGUUAACUGAGCCACCUAGGCGUCUCCACAGCAUUUCUAAGUGAUAUUAAAGAAGAUCUAGGUAAAUACAGAGACACCCACUGUUAAUGGGCUGGAGAGCUCAAUAGUGUUCAAGUGGCAAUAUUCGCCAAAUUGAUUAAUAGAUUGCAGUCCUUCUCAAAAUGAGUGUUUUGGGGUUUGGGGAGCAAAAUUAGCAAUCUGAUCGUAAAACUUGCAUGGACACGCAGAGGACACAGGACAGCCAAACAAUUCUGAAAGGGAACAAAGUUGGAGAAUUUACGCAUUCCAAUUUGAAAACUUACUACACAGUAACAGCAAUAAACACAGCGUCUUCUGACAUAAGGAUUGACAUAUGGAUCAAUGGAACGGCAUUGAGAGUCCAGAAAUAGAUUCAUAGAUUUAUCGUCAAUUGAUUUUUGACAAAAGUGCCACGGCUUUCAAGGGGGGAAAAUGCUCUUUUCAGCAAGUGGCACUAUGACAAUUGGAAAGCCAUGAAAAAACAGAAUUUGGACCCCUACCUUACACUGCACAAAAAUUAACUCGAAAUCAACCAUAAACCCGGGUGUAAGAUCUAAAGCUGUAAGAUUUUUGAAAGGACACAUACGAGAAAACCUUUGUGACCUUGAGACAGGCAGUGUUCUUGGGUGCAACGCCAAGAGCAGGAAUCCACGAAAGAUGAAUCCGAGUUGAUCAAUAGUGCAGAUUCUGUGCUUCGAGUGACGAUAAGAUAACGAAACUGGGAUAAAAUGUUUGCAGGUCAGACGUAAUAAGGGGUUUGUCUUUAGGACACUUGCCGCUCAAAUACAAGACAAACGUACGCUUUAGAUUAUUAGGUGUAUUUUACAACAAUUAAAACCAGAUAUAAAAUUUAAAACAGUAAUCGUAAGACAACCAAGCAAGUAAAAAAAAUAGGCAAAAAAAAAGUUAGCCAUUUCAUCAAGGAAGGAGGAGGAACGCCGGGUAUCUUCUUUGGUGAAACGUCUAAUCCAAUUUGCAAAGAUGCUCGGCACCAGCAGCGACUAGGAAAAUCCAAACUGAAAGCGAACGCGUCACCACCUCGCACACACCAGGGUGGCUGUACCACGAGGAAGGCCCGACGCAAGUGUCGACAAAGAUACGGAAACACCGGAACCCUCCUACGUCGCUGGCGGGAAAGUAAAACGUGCGGCCAGUUUCUUCCAAAGUUGACAUAAACUUCCCACACGACCCAGGAUUCCACUGCCAGGUGUUUACCCAAGAGGAACGACAACGCGUGCACCCAAGAGCUCGUACGUGAAGGUUCACAGCAGCUACGUUCGUAAUAGUCACACUGUGCAAACAACCCAAAUACCCAUCGACUGGUGAACAAACCACGUGUGGUGUAUCCACACCAUGAAGCAUCAUGACGGGAACCAACACGGGCGAACUUUGGGACGACUAUGCUCGGUGAGAGCAGCCGGACAGCAAACACUCCACGUGGCGCAAUUCCGUGUGCGUGGAACGUGUGCAAGAGGCAAGUCUGUGAGGACAGAGAGGGGGUGGCUGUGGAUGGUCCAGGAGACCUUGGAGGUGAGGGCAGCGUUCUAAAGUUGGACUGUGGUGGUGGUUGCACAACUGGGUAAAUUUACUAAAAUCAUUGGACGGUGGGUGGAUCACUGAAACUGUUGAAAGUGGGUGGAUUUUAUGGUAUGUAAAUUACACCUCAAUAAAGCUGUUUUAAAAAUACUUCUCAGGGUUUUGCUUUUUUAGAUUUCCAUUUAAUUCUC